AAGUACUGGAGUGGCCGUCAGGUGUCCUCAUCGUCGCCUUUGUUUGCCUGAGUGUCCUGGGAUUGCGUGUGAUUUGUGCCUCACUUCCCCUCAUUUCGAAACUUUCCCGGCGAUAAGGAAACCCAGAAUGAUCUCCAGAAAUUGCAGAAGCUGUAGGGAAGCCGCGGAACUUGUGACAGGAGGAAUGAAAAAAGACAUGGCGGUGGGGAGUGCAAUUUACUACAGUGACCUCAAUGUUGGCGGAAGACGACCUUAACAGAGAAAGGCUUAAGAAUAAAAGGUCAACAUUCUGACACAAUGGACAAUAUUAUUUAACACGUUUGGUGAUUACGGUGGCAACAGUUGGCACCCCUGCACACUAGGGAUGCUUGCCAUUAUGACCUGGGAAAUAGGAUCAUAUUCUGAGACUUCUGCGCCGCACCCCCACUGCUUUCAAAAUACUUUAUUUGAAGCUGCACGAGUUUUUAAGGGUGUUUUUACGGUUUUAACGACGGAUUAGCAACAUUUCCAUAUUAUUAUCAGGAGAAACACUAGGAUGCUUGCCAUUAUGACUUGGGAAAUAAGAUCAUAUUCUGAGACUUUUGCGCCGCACCCACAAUGCUUUCAAAAAUGCUUGAAGCUACACGAGUUUUUAAGAGUGUUUUUUUUUACGGUUUUAGCGACGGAUUAGUAACAUUUCCAUAUUAUUAGCAGGAGAAACACUCUUGAAAACCCAGCUUAUCAUCUCUGUAGCCUUUGAAAAUAAUGGUGGUGGGAGAGCAGACCGCCUCAAAAUAAGGGGCAUAAAUCGGCUUUUCAGCAUCGUCAAACCAUGCAUACCAACCUUACCGACGCGACACGUGAUCUGUGCGUCCAGGAAGUCAAGUUAAAGCCUGCCUUGUCAGUAUUGUUGUGUUGGUAUUCGUGUGGGUGGACAUACCUGGUCAUCGGUACCUGUCUGUUUGUCUGUGUUUAGUUGAUGAUCAGAUUUCGAGGCUACACAAAGGACAGGUAGACUCCUCCAUAUUUUUCUGCUGUGUUCUUUUAUGUUCUUAAGAUAUAUGUUCUUAUAAUGUGUGAAAAUAUGUUCCUGUAUAAUUAAUAAUGCUGUAUUCUUGUUCUUGUAAAAUACUGAAAAGAAAAUGAUGUCCACGCCACUUGAAUUAAUCUUGUUAGCAAUUUUUAUAAAGGAUAUGAUUUGGGAUUAAAAGUAUGCAAGGGGUAGGAGAGAUUCAAGCUUAUUUUUUUUUUUCUUUGUUCUUGUGUGCUUAUAAAUCUCGCCAGUAACUUGGGAUUCAUUAGUCGUGGAUGGGAUUGAUGUGGCGUCCAUUGCCUGCUGUGUUAUCGUGCUCUUAAAAAAAAAAAAUAACAUCCAUGCAACUUAAAUUGAUGUCGGUAAUUCAAAAAGGAUAAAGUUCAGAACUGAUUAGGCAAGGAAUAUGAUAAUUCUGUCCACCUCUGUGCUCCUGUGUUCUUUUAAAUAACAGAAAGCCAUGCACGCCACACGAAUCUUUGCAGGUAUAAAAAGGGACUUGGGAUGUAGAAGAUAAAGGACAAGAUUGACCGGACCAUCAUUGUCUGUCUUGUUCUUGUGUUGAGUGAUGAAUAAAUGACAGAAAAUCAUCCUCGCCUAUCAACUGAAUCGUUUACCAUUAAUGAAAAUAAAAGGUUCAAAUAAUAUACUUCAUUCUGUAAGUACUAAAAAGAUAAAUAUUUAUUUAAAAAAGUGAAUGAUUUAACAGUGUACUCUCUCUCUCUCUCUCUCUCUCUCUCUCUCUCUCUCUCUCUCUCUCUCUCUCUCUCUCUCUCUCUCUCUCUCUCUCUCUCUCUCUCUCUCUCUCUCUCUCUCUCUCUC
Long non-coding RNA from Scylla paramamosain (green mud crab), 1834 nucleotides. RefSeq lists it as uncharacterized. NCBI's taxonomy places the organism in Eukaryota, Metazoa, Arthropoda, Malacostraca, Decapoda, Portunidae. The record is from RefSeq and is a predicted model, not a curated record. The transcript is spliced from 3 exons.